UUUCCAACAAAUCUUAAAUGUAAAUAUUAUUAUGUCCAUAGAUUGAAGUUUCAGGUGGAGAGCAAGAUGAAAAAUAUGCAAAAUUACAUGCAUGCAACCCAUUUAUGCCAUUUUUCUCUUUGUAGGCCUGACCGUUUGUCCUUGAGCCGUAGAUGGUCAACAAUCCGCUAGCUGUCUUGCUCUGACUGGUGCACUGGACAUGAUUUCAAUAGUCAGCCAGACCAUGAUUGAGCUUAAGGGUUGUGCUGCGGAUGCAGCCUGUGCAGUUCCGGGAGAAAGUCACUGUCUCGGGCAAUGCGGUCUGGUAUCAGGUCUGGAUGAUCCUUGCCUGACUGCGGGUUUGUGUACACCUCAAUCCGACUCUGUGUCCUGAACAGAGGCCGCAGUGGUGCAGCGCUUGUGGACGAUCCAUCAACAUCCUGAAAGGUCAACACUACACCAAGCUGGGAAAAUUGAUCCUGAUAGUCAUCCCCAGGUAGUGGAAUGAAUGUUCACUGAACUACAGAGGAAUCACACCCAAAUGACUUUCCUGCCACGACAUUAGUGUGGCCACUCGCGUAGGAAUUCCUUAGCAAACAUGCUCUUUUGCAUGGUGACUGUGGACAUUUUUGCAAAACUUACGCUUUCAACACUGGAUUUUAAAGAGAAUACUUAAUAAAAUGGCGCUAACAGGACUUAUUUAUAUGAGAGAGACCAUCUGGAUGCGCAUGAAGUGUCACUUUGUGUCGUAAGCUGUUGAAGGAGCGAUUUGCGCCUUUUUAAGUGUUAUUUUUGGGUAGCCGGCUUGUAUCGGCUUGAAAGCUGAAAAUUAUGCCUCUCAUCAUAAUAGCAUUAAUUUUUGUAAUUGCAAUGUGUAUGUUUAGAUUGUAAGUGAAGCUUUUAAUAAUAAUUUUCUUAAAAAACAUGAUUUUAUAUGCUGUCAGUGAGUUUUUUAUUGAAAAAAGUGCUUAAAAUUUUAAAAAAGUCUCCUAUUUCAUCAAGAAAAGUACACUGAUUCACAAUCAAUACAUUUAUUUGGGCCUUUUGCUGAUAUAUUGGUGAAUUUCGCAUGCAAUGAUACCAGUUUUUGCCAUGAAAGUUACGCGUAACAAUAAUUGGAGACGCAAAAUCAGCUGUCGUCACUUAGACUAAAAAUCAUGCAUUCCGACUUGACUGCGGCCAAUUUAGUCACCGCUUUAAAUGGCCAUUUUAAGGCCUUUACCCCCAUCCGAAUGCACUGAAAUUGCAUAUUCAUUGUGGAAAUAGUUGAAAUCACAUGUGGAGAAAGUUUGAAAAAGAUAGGACAAAGUUGAGUUCCCUUAAAGGUUACAUUACACUAAAUCAUUGUGUAUCCCUCCGUGGUCCAUUCGAAAGUAGUGCCUAUUUCUAAAGAGUUCCUUUUCUCUUCUUGAAUAUAAGCCAUUUAACAAUGUGAGACAUGUCUUUUGUGGUUAUUUGUAAUAUCCUGUAUGUGUCUGGAGUACUUUGAUGCCUUGGAUUGGAAGCUAACUUAAAAGAUGAACUUUUGAGGGUGUGUUUUCUAUUGUGUGGGGCUUUUGUCGAAAUUAGGAUUCCGAAACACGUUUUUCUACGGUGGGUUCAUUCGACAGCGAUUUUCUUUCUUAGAAGUUGCGAGACGGUAUGUUUUUGAUUGCAAUUAUUGGAAGAUGACAGAUCCAUCUUUAAAAUGAUACCAGGUUCGGGAAAAUUGAUACGUCGGAAAGGCAAGAAAAAUGCUGUGAAAGUUGUCAGUUUUAUAAUGGGACCCUAUGGGAAUCGGAAUUAGUGUAAUAUA
This is a long non-coding RNA of Dreissena polymorpha, 1774 nucleotides long. RefSeq lists it as uncharacterized. The record is from RefSeq and is a predicted model, not a curated record. The transcript is spliced from 3 exons. Lineage: Eukaryota; Metazoa; Mollusca; Bivalvia; Myida; Dreissenidae.